Molecule: long non-coding RNA, 6001 nt
Filed under: Phaseolus vulgaris (common bean)
Lineage: Eukaryota; Viridiplantae; Streptophyta; Magnoliopsida; Fabales; Fabaceae
Description: long non-coding RNA (PVUL_LNC004632)
Source: RNAcentral
AGCAGCAAAGUCCAACUAUCAUUAACGUCUCCAUUUCCUUCUCAUCAAAGUGUCCAUAUAAGCUUGGAUCAGAGGCUUUAAGGACUUCACCAAGGCCCUGGAGUUUCCAAACCCAAUCCACCAAAUAGAUAUCUUCAUUCAUCUUAGGUUCAAUUGCCUUUCUGCCACAGGCUAUCUCCAAAGCAACUACUCCAAAGCUGUACACAUCAGAUUCCCUGCUAGCCUUGCCUCUUGUUGUAGCUUCAGGAGGCAAAUACCCAAUUGUUCCUGCUAAACCAGUUGUUUGUGAUUCUAUCCCAUGAUCCAUUACUCUGGCCAAUCCAAAAUCUCCAAGCUUUGCAUUAAAAUUUGAAUCCAACAUAACAUUGCUGGAUUUUAUGUCUCUAUGAAGCACACAAUCUUCCCACUCUUCAUGCAGGUAUAACAAUGCUGAUGCCAAGCCUCUCGCAAUAUUAUAUCUCACUUUCCAUGUCAGCAGGCCUUUUCCCUUGAACAGAUAAUAAUCCAAGCUUCCACUUUCCAUGAACUCAUAAAUCAGCAGCAGGUCAUCAUGCUGAUGGCACCACCCAAAAAGUUGAACCAAAUUUCUAUGCCUCAGUUGACUAAUGAUCUUUACUUCCGACAUAUACUCUUUCACCCCUUGUCUAGAUCCAGGAGAUACCUUCUUAAUGGCAACAUGGGUGUUCAACCCUCUUAUAAAUCCCCUGUAGACGGCUCCAAAACCUCCCUGUCCUAUCUUAUUUUCUCUUGCGAAGUUAUUAGUUGCUGUGGCCAGUUCUUGAAAGGAAAACUUCUUGGGUAGAGAGAUUUUAUCGAAAUCAUUGUCCAUAGCAUUGUCAAAAAGUGAGACAUCUUCUAUACCUCUAGUCCUCAGCAUCCAUCUCACAAGAAAAGUUACCCCGAAAAUAACAAUUAAAACACCUACACCAAGUCCAACGCUCAGCCCUAUCACCAGCCCUAUUUUGCUUCCACCCUUUUGUUUUUGUGGUUCCAUCUCCAAAGUAGAGUUGAAGGACCAUGAACUAAGAGUAUGUUCCUCAUAAGUAAAUCCUGUUGCCGAAGAGAAGCCAAAUUGAACCCAUUCAGGUAAGAUAUCACUCAAAUUGACCUCUGAGCAUAAUCUCUGUUUAAUUUUGACAUUAUCCUUAUAUCCAUUGAAGGUGACACUUAAUUCGUUUGAAGCAGAAUUGAAAGUAAUAUCAGCAUCAUACCCUCUUUCAUCCAUGCUAGUGAACCACUCUGUAGUGCUAGUAGUGCUAAGAGCAUUAACAUCGAUACCCACAUGGUCAUAUCCCGGAUCCCAGGCAUUAACCAAGGUGUCAAAUUCCACUGCUACAAAAGGAAAGUCCUUUGCGUAAUUUUGACUGCUUAGUUGGCCACGGCUGGCAAGACCAAUACCACUUCCAUCUUUCUGGGACUGUGGAAAGUUUGGAUGUGCCAGAAAGAAGGUGAUUCCAUCUCCAGGAUUGGUUUGAUUUAGGGAGUUGAUGAUAAAGGAGAAAUGGGUAGUGAAGUCUGCAACCUUUCCCGAGCUCUUGUCCCAAAGAUGCAAUAAUUUGUAAUAUAUGACUCUACCAACACUAUCUUCCUUAUAUUUGGUGAGGUUGAGGAUUCCUUCUUGAGCUUCAACAUCUCCCGAAAUAUUGAGGACGUUUCCAGUGUGACCAAGUUGCUGAUAGUUGAAUUCUAAUGAAGCUGCAUGAGGUAAUAGAAGAAGCAAGAGUGUUAAUGUGACAUGAAAAGAAACACGCACAUAACUUUUCUUGCAGUACUGAGAUGGUGCCAUGGCUGGAGAAUUGAUGCUGCCCUCCAUGGAAAUGGAAUGGUCAAACAUGGUUUGGUUGGAGUAGCUGCUUGUAGUGUUGUAGUUAAUUUCUGUUGUUUCUUGUUUUUCACUCUUUUAUGGUUGAAUGAGUAAUACGAUGGUGAUAUAAUAACACCGUCAGUGAAAACGGACACCUUAUAUAGCAAUAAAUUAAUAUUUUAAUACUUUUUAUUUUAUUUUUCAAUAUAAAAUAUUAUUAUAUUAUAAAGAGAUGUGAGGUUUCUGUUAGUUACUGUUUGUCGUAAUUGCUAUUUAAACCAUAUUUGUGUAUUAAAUGUGAACCACUCUGGAUGGCUAUUCCAACGAAAUUUUCAAGUCAUUUUGUUUAUUCACACGUUAAGUGAAUGUAAAUUACACGUCAACACGUACUCGGUUUUAACUUUGAAUCAGGUCACGUUCACAUACAUUACAUUCACUUUACAAUCAUAAAUCAUAAAUCAGUUAUAAAUUACACAUAUUUACGGAGUUUUUUCAAUUGCCCCAGAUUACAUCAAUAUUUAAAGAUCUUUUUUACCCUUCAACCAAUCUACCUACCUCAUCAAUCAAAGUUUAUAAAGAAAGAAAUAUCAUAUAUUUAUUUUUUAAAUUAGAAAAUUAUUCUUAUGACGUUUUAAAAAUUAGAAGCAUGUCCCUUCCUAAUACAAUGAAGAAAAGUGAUGAAUGAUGCAUUAGAUGACUUUUUGAAAUUGAUUUUUUUUAAAUAUUUUUAUUUAUUUUUAUAUGUGUAUCCAAUUUUAUCACUUACUUUUUAGAGUUUAGAAUGACAUCCAAGUUUGAUUUUUUUUUUCAUUGUGAAUUUUGCAAGUAUUUUCUCAAGAUAUUUAAUCUUAUUUUCUUGAAUCUUGCAACUUUCUCAAUCGACAAUUUUAACUUAUGAGGUUGAAUCAUAAAAGAAUUGUUUGUAAACUUUUUUCAAAGCAUCUAAAUCAUUUUUCAAGUUUUCAAUUUUUCUUUUAUUUGAUUCAAGGUUUUUUCCAACCAUCUAUUUUCUCCCUCUAACUCUAUUGCUUGAGUCAAUAAGUUAUUUUCCUUCCUCGUGUAACUCAUUGAAGGCAUCAUUAAAAAGUUGAUCAUGGUUUGAUUCAAUAACAAAGUUUGAGUUACUCAUAUUGCUUCUUAAUGAUUAAAGAUCAGUCAUAAAACACAUGUUAGUUUCCUUAUCACUAUUUCUUGUGCCACUAGAAUACACAAAACAGUUUAUAUAGCCAUUUAUCAGAGUAAGAGAAGAGAGAUUCAAACAGAUAUUUACAUUGGUUUAUUCUUAACCAAGAGUUACAUCCAGUCCUCAACUCACCACUAAAAAUUCAUUAAGUAAUCAAAAUCAGAUUACAAACCACAGCCAAGAGUGUUGAUCUUGAACCCCUACAAAACACACAACACUCUCAACCAAAACCACAUUUUCCAGAAAUACUAUCUGAAGAUGUUUUACAACAAAAUACAGAAUUGAAAGAAAUAAUUAAAAUAAACUUGGGCUUUACAAAGCUCUAGAAAAAUGGAAAAGAAAACCCAAAUUCCUACUUCACACAUAAACAAUGAUCCAAUAUUCCAAAAAUGAUUAAAAACUCUUUCAUCUUCUUUUGAAAAUGUUUUUAUCAAAACUUUUUUUUAAAUGGUCAUAAACCAGUCUUUAUAUACACUUUAAAAAGUGGUUAAAAUGUUUGAUCAUUAAAUGCAAUUCUGUUAAAAGCAUUUAAAAGUAGUUUGAAUAUCAUAACAAAAUUAUGUUAAAAAACACUUGAUUGAUGUUUCAAACAAACUAAUUGUUUUCAUUUUCUUUUAAAAACUAAAUGUAAAAAAGUUAGUUUAUCAAAAUAAUUGACUAAUUUUGCUUUAUAGAAAAGACAAAAGAAACCAAAUCAUUUUUAAAUUCUUUUAAAAAUCUUAAGUAUAAUUCAAUCGCCGAUAAAUUAACUUGUUGGAAUCACCAAACUUUGAACAAUUUUUUUUUUCAAUUGAUUUAAAACACGAAACAAAAAAUUAAAUCAUACUAACUUACAUCAUAACUAGGUGCAAAUUAACAACUCAAAGUCUACCUAAUUACACACAACAACAAAUCUUCAAGUUUUUAAAGUUAAAUUUGGAAAUUAUCAAAACAAAUUUGUUCAACAUUCCCAUUUCACAUUUUUUUUUCUUUAUAAACUUUUUGAAUUUCUUGUCAUGAACCUUUUGCUUCAAAUUAAACAAAUGACAAUCAACUUUAACACGACUAGUCUUAUUACAUCCAAAACACUUAUACAUCGAUUACGAUGAAUAAUACAACUUCUAUUCCAUUUCUUUUUGUUAUUUAAGAAUUUAAGAACUUGAUUACUCUUCACUAGAUUCGUAUCUUGUUGUUUCAGCAUUGAAAGUAACUCAUUUCUUUUUCUUAUUCUCUUUAUCUCAUUUCUUUUUCUUAUCCUCUUUAUCUGUUAGUCUUUCUAACUAAGUUUACCAAAUAAAUUUGUCAUAUAGAUAGAAGUGAGUUUUUAUUUUAUUUUGAAAUGGUUGUCACAUAUUAGAUUUUUUUAUGUGUUUAAGGAUUUCACUAUUUUAAUUAGUUAUUUUAUUUUAAACUUCUUUUCUAAAAUCACAAGAUGAUUCACUGCGUAAAUUAACUUUUUUUAUUAACUCUUUUUAUGUUUCUUAUAUGUUUUUUUUAUUGAAGCACACUAAAGAUAUCAUAUUCUUGUAGUAUGAGAAUGUUCUUCCUUAUUUUUUUAACAUGUUUAGUACCCUCGUGCAUGACCUCAAGAAUAUCAUAUUUAUAAUGUUUAUAUAUAUAUAUAUAUAUAUUUAUAAUAAAUUAUAACUAAUAAUAAUAAUAUAAAUAAUUUAAUAAUUAGAUACACGGUUAAAAUUUAAUAUAAAAAACUUAAUAAUUACAUACAAUGUUAAAAAUUGUAUUUAAAAUUAUUAUUAAUAUUUAAAAUUAUUACAUCAAAAUCUAAUAUCUAUAUAUAAAUAUUUUAAUAUUACUAAAAUUAAUUACUAAUAUUAAUAAUGUUCAAGUUUCCUUAAAAAUAUUUUUAUUCACUAGUUUAAUAUUUUUUUUAUUGACAUUAAUUAUACACACUAUUUAAUAAUCUUAAAACUAUAUUAAUUGAGUCUAUAAAUUUAAUUUUCAAAAUUCUUAUUUUAAAUUUGUUAAAUAUCUUUUGAAUACUGUUCAAAAAUAAAAAUAGAAGACCUGCAUAGAAGUUGAGUCAUGAAAAUUCGAUUUCCCUAGGGAAAACAAAAAAAAAAACGAUAGUGUGGUAAAUAAAAUAUAAAAGAAUCUGUUUGGAAUAUUUUGUUUGGUUUAAAAUCAGAAAUAUACAUAAUUUAUGAGUUAGCAAUAGGGUGAUGCCCACGCCUCUUUAUGUCUUGGCAGCCACAGCCACGUCCACGUAGUACUUGUUAUUAGGACACCCCAAAAAAUAUCUCUUGUUAUUAAGGAUCUUGUCCUUGCCAAUGAGUCAUCAACUACGCGUCGCAGGAAAAAAAAUAGAGAACGGUAUUAGAUGUGUUCAAGAUUCUCUUAUAACAUUACGCAAUGGGAAGGCAAGAUUUGGAUUUGAAAUUAUAGGAAGAAAUACGUAGUAGUGCGAAACAUGUAUAUGUAGAAUUUCACUAUAAGAAAAAUAAAGGAUGAAUUGAAUACAUAUAAAGCUUAGUAGGUAUGCAAAGGUGCAGCUGCUGGAGUAAUGAUUUCAAGAUUUGUGGUGGAUUGUGAGGACCCCGUUAAUAUACUACUGCUUGAAGUUGAAGAUGAAUGUUGGUUACUUGCAAAAGCAGGAGUCCUAGAUGCCAUAGAACUCCAAGAUGCAUUAUAGUUUCUUGCUGUGAGAAUGGGCACUGGAGCUUCAAAAUUAAGGAUCUGAACAGCUUGUCUUAUCGUAGGCCUCAAAAGGUAAUCUGUGUGACAGCAGCAAAGUCCAACUAUCAUUAACGUCUCCAUUUCCUUCUCAUCAAAGUGUCCAUAUAAGCUUGGAUCAGAGGCUUUAAGGACUUCACCAAGGCCCUGGAGUUUCCAAACCCAAUCCACCAAAUAGAUAUCUUCAUUCAUCUUAGGUUCAAUUGCCUUUCUGCCACAGGCUAUCUCCAAAGCAACUACUCCAAAGCUGUACACAUCAGAUUCCCUGCUAGCCUUGCCUCUUGUUGUAGCUUCAGGAGGCAAAUACCCAAUUGUUCCUGCUAAACCAGUUGUUUGUGAUUCUA